UCAUAGUCAAAACUAAUUCUCGCAAGUCACAGAAGGAGAAAAUCAAAAUUUUAUGGAUACCACAGUACCUGGCAACAAGGUUUCUCAGGAGCUGGCCCGUGAGUUGCUUAUUGCUAUCUCACAGUGCAUACCAGAUACGGUUCUUGCUUCAAAACUUUCAUCUGAAUCAAAAGGCACAAAUGCAGUUGAACUGAAAGAGAGUGACACAGCUGAAAAGUAUAGGUCUAAGCUGAUCUCUAUUUCAUACGCAGAUACUAAAACCUCUCCAGCUGCAUUGGGGAACACUGAGGUUUAGCUGGGAUUAGUGUUCUCUUUGAUGGGAACUACUUGUAAUUUUAGAUUUUUGUCAUUUUUUGUUUCCUAGAACUAUUACUGUUGAGUGUAUGUUUCUAGUGUCAAUUUCUGCUUGAUGCUGUGUAUACUUCUAAUGUCAACAUAAUCAGAGAAAUAAAAGUUAAUUAAUCUUGUAUACUGUA
Telopea speciosissima is the source of this 476-nucleotide long non-coding RNA. RefSeq lists it as uncharacterized. The record is from RefSeq and is a predicted model, not a curated record. NCBI's taxonomy places the organism in Eukaryota, Viridiplantae, Streptophyta, Magnoliopsida, Proteales, Proteaceae. The transcript is spliced from 2 exons.